Molecule: ribosomal RNA, 492 nt
Filed under: uncultured bacterium
Lineage: Bacteria
Description: partial 16S ribosomal RNA
Rfam family: Bacterial small subunit ribosomal RNA
Source: RNAcentral
AGUGAACGCUGGCGGUAGGCCUAACACAUGCAAGUCGAACGGCAGCACAGUAGAAGCUUGCUCUUACGGGUGGCGAGUGGCGGACGGGUGAGGAUUACAUCGGAAUCUACUUUUUCGUGGGGGUUAACGUAGGGAAACUACCGCUAAUCCCGCAUCCGACCUCCGGGUGAAAGCAGGGAAUCUUCGGCCUUUGCGCGUUUGAUUGAGCCGAUGUCGGAUUAGCUAGUUGGCGGGGUAAGGGCCCACCAAGGCGACGAUCCGUAGCUGGUCUGAGAGGAUGAUCAGCCACACUGGAACUGAGACACGGUCCAGACUCCUACGGGAGGCAGCAGUGGGGAAUAUUGGACAAUGGGCGCAAGCCUGAUCCAGCCAUACCGCGUGGGUGAAGAAGGCCUUCGGGUUGUAAAGCCCUUUUGUUGGGAAAGAAAAGCAGCAGGUUAAUACCCCGCUGUUCUGACGGUACCCAAAGAAUAAGCACCGGCUAACUUCGUG